RNAcentral lists this ribosomal RNA (546 nucleotides) under Bacillus sp. (in: firmicutes). RNAcentral describes it as "bacterial SSU rRNA". It matches the Rfam family "Bacterial small subunit ribosomal RNA", at positions 48 to 570 of the family's 1533-position model. The record is from RNAcentral. Lineage: Bacteria; Bacillati; Bacillota; Bacilli; Caryophanales; Bacillaceae.
CCUAUACAUGCAGUCGAGCGAAUGGAUUAAGAGCUUGCUCUUAUGAAGUUAGCGGCGGACGGGUGAGUAACACGUGGGUAACCUGCCCAUAAGACUGGGAUAACUCCGGGAAACCGGGGCUAAUACCGGAUAACAUUUUGAACCGCAUGGUUCGAAAUUGAAAGGCGGCUUCGGCUGUCACUUAUGGAUGGACCCGCGUCGCAUUAGCUAGUUGGUGAGGUAACGGCUCACCAAGGCAACGAUGCGUAGCCGACCUGAGAGGGUGAUCGGCCACACUGGGACUGAGACACGGCCCAGACUCCUACGGGAGGCAGCAGUAGGGAAUCUUCCGCAAUGGACGAAAGUCUGACGGAGCAACGCCGCGUGAGUGAUGAAGGCUUUCGGGUCGUAAAACUCUGUUGUUAGGGAAGAACAAGUGCUAGUUGAAUAAGCUGGCACCUUGACGGUACCUAACCAGAAAGCCACGGCUAACUACGUGCCAGCAGCCGCGGGUAAUACGUAAGGUGGCAAGCGUUUAUCCGGAAAUUAUUGGGGCGUAAAAGCGCC